GUGAAUAUGUCACUCUCAGUCUUUGCAGUCUCUCUCUCUCUCUCUGAUAACCUUGGCUGAAGGAACUAAUCUGGGCCAUUUGCACAGCAGAUCCAGAGAAAGAGGGAGCGUGUCUGAGAAGUCUCCGCAGGAGGGAGGUCACCGCUGAUGCUGCUGGAGAAGCAGAUUAUUUGUGGACGCAGCGAGCCGAGGGGGGUUUGAGUCAUCCACCUCCACCUUUACAGGGAUGGAGGGUGAUGGGCAUCUGCUGAGCUGAAGGAAGUGUUUCCGGAGUGAAUAUUUGAUGGAGGUCUGCUGUAGUGUGUCCUGAGGACAUAUGGCCUGCAGCAGAACAGCGUCCCAUCCGCUCGGACACUCACUGUAAUGGCUUCUGUCAGGAUGCAGCAGAACAAACAGCCGGCACAGAUGCAGGGGAAGUCCAUCACGUACGCAUCCAGUGCUCAUCUCUGCAGUCGGCCCGAACUAGGCAUAAUUUAUUGACUGAAGAUGGAGUCAAUAGAUCCUAAAGCACACUUAAACCUAGUCAGCAGUGAUUACGAGGUGUUGAGCGCACACCGCAAACUUAUGCAAGCUUAUGUCUAGAAAAAAUGUUAUCUUUUCAUGAGAGGCCUAAAGCUGUCAACUUGAUUAAGGACGCAGAUGAGCAUCUGAGGAUCCGGCCAAACACACUGAGAUAUGCAAAAAUACAGUCUGUUGUGUCGAGGAAAGGCGAACAUGUUUGAAAGCAAUCGUCCCUGCUCUUCUGCAUCACUGGAUUUUAAUAUAAGCACAUGGAGAUAUUCAGAUAACAGCACAG
Molecule: long non-coding RNA, 796 nt
Organism: Cyprinus carpio carpio
Lineage: Eukaryota; Metazoa; Chordata; Actinopteri; Cypriniformes; Cyprinidae
Source: Ensembl